GACGAGGAAAAGAAGAAUAAGGGAAUCUUUGUGUAGAAAUAAAACAGAACAUUCUCUUACAAUGGGAAAAUAUUCCAAAUCGUCUCUAAGCCAUUGGAUCUGUUCCCGUUAGGAUUAGAGUAAAGAUUCUUAGUAUCUCCCACUAACGUCAUUGAUUUACACAUAAAGCUAACUCUUAAGUGGUAAUCGCCAAAACCAUGUUACCUUCAUUGUAUAAUUUGUGGUGUUCAUAGUAUUAGGGGUUAACAGUUUGAUUCAUUUCUUAAAAAAAAAAACAGUUUGAUUCCUUUUGGUUACUUGCGCUAAUUAACUUUUAUAGUUUUAUGUGAUCUAUCAAUCG
Molecule: long non-coding RNA, 340 nt
Filed under: Brassica rapa (field mustard)
Lineage: Eukaryota; Viridiplantae; Streptophyta; Magnoliopsida; Brassicales; Brassicaceae
Description: long non-coding RNA (BRAP_LNC001813)
Source: RNAcentral